UGCCAGCCGCCGCGGUAAUACGGAUGGUGCAAGCGUUAAUCGGAAUUACUGGGCGUAAAGCGCGCGUAGGUGGCAUACUAAGUUAGAUGUGAAAUCCCGGGGCUUAACCUCGGAACUGCAUCUAAAACUGGUAAGCUAGAGUACUAGAGAGGAAAGUAGAAUUCUUAGUGUAGCGGUGGAAUGCGUAGAUAUUAAGAGGAAUACCAAUGGCGAAGGCAACUUUCUGGAUAGAUACUGACACUGAGGUGCGAAAGCGUGGGGAGCAAACAGGAUUAGAUA
Molecule: ribosomal RNA, 279 nt
Filed under: uncultured bacterium
Lineage: Bacteria
Description: partial 16S ribosomal RNA
Rfam family: Bacterial small subunit ribosomal RNA
Source: RNAcentral